Molecule: transfer RNA, 77 nt
Filed under: Thiopseudomonas alkaliphila
Lineage: Bacteria; Pseudomonadati; Pseudomonadota; Gammaproteobacteria; Pseudomonadales; Pseudomonadaceae
Also listed under: 1 other name
Description: tRNA-Arg
Rfam family: tRNA
About the family: Transfer RNA (tRNA) molecules are approximately 80 nucleotides in length.
Source: RNAcentral
GCGCCCGUAGCUCAGUCGGAUAGAGCACCCGCCUUCUAAGUGGGUGGUCGCAGGUUCGAGUCCUGCCGGGCGCGCCA